This 414-nucleotide non-coding RNA is filed under the name Peptococcaceae bacterium. Its description in RNAcentral is "T-box sequence". It matches the Rfam family "T-box leader". From Rfam's summary of the family: Uncharged tRNA acts as the effector for transcription antitermination of genes in the T-box leader family. T-boxes are found upstream of many aminoacyl-tRNA synthetase genes and some amino acid biosynthetic genes usually in Gram-positive bacteria. Lineage: Bacteria; Bacillati; Bacillota; Clostridia; Eubacteriales; Peptococcaceae. The record is from RNAcentral.
UGAAAUUCAGUGAAGGGGAAAAGUAGGCUGGAAACAGGUCCCCAGGGAGGGAAUGUCACCGACUGGAAGCAUUCCCGGCCAUGACCAUCUGAAGUUCUCCCCGGAGAAGCCGGCUGAAAUUUAUAGGCGUUCCGAACAUCCGCUUAUAUUGAUUAGGCUUGGACGUAUUCUUCCCACGUUACAGGGAAGAGGAUAUCGGAAUUUAUUCCCUUACUCCUACCGAGUGGAUCUAUAUGUAAACAAUAUGGAUCAACCGGGGUGGUAACGCGGUGGCAACGCCUCUCGUCCCUGUACGAGGGGUUUAUUUGUUUUCUGCGAGGAAUUUUCCCGUAUCUUUUUAUGAGGGGGCCUGUAUUUAUCUACGGGUCAACCAGGGUGGUACCGCGGAAGCAACCCGUCGCUUUCGUCCCUGUA